UACGUAGGGGGCUAGCGUUGUCCGGAAUCAUUGGGCGUAAAGAGCGUGUAGGCGGCUCGGUAAGUCUGCUGUGAAAGUCCAGGGCUCAACCCUGGAAUGCCGGUGGAAACUGUCGAGCUAGAGUCCGGAAGAGGCGAGUGGAAUUCCUGGUGUAGCGGUGAAAUGCGCAGAUAUCAGGAGGAACACCAAUGGCGAAGGCAGCUCGCUGGGACGGUACUGACGCUGAGACGCGAAAGCGUGGGGAGCAAACAGG
This 253-nucleotide ribosomal RNA is filed under the name uncultured bacterium. RNAcentral describes it as "partial 16S ribosomal RNA". It matches the Rfam family "Bacterial small subunit ribosomal RNA", at positions 524 to 776 of the family's 1533-position model. The record is from RNAcentral.